RNAcentral lists this transfer RNA (72 nucleotides) under Macridiscus semicancellata. RNAcentral's name for it is "tRNA-Ser". The record is from RNAcentral. Lineage: Eukaryota; Metazoa; Mollusca; Bivalvia; Venerida; Veneridae.
AAAGGAGAAAAGUGGGUCACGGUUAGACUUCUAAUCUUUACUGUAGGCAGUUCGAGUCUGUCUUUUUCUUUA